GAUGAACGCUAGCGGCAGGCUUAACACAUGCAAGUCGAGGGGUAGAGGAAGCUUGCUUCCUUGAGACCGGCGCACGGGUGCGUAACGCGUAUACAAUCUACCUUUUACAGAGGGAUAGCCCAGAGAAAUUUGGAUUAAUACCUCAUAGUAUUUUCGGAUCGCAUGAUUUGAUUAUUAAAGUUCCAACGGUAAAAGAUGAGUAUGCGGUCCCAUUAGCUAGAUGGUAAGGUAACGGCUUACCAUGGCAAUGAUGGGUAGGGGUCCUGAGAGGGAGAUCCCCCACACUGGGACUGAGACACGGACCAGACUCCUACGGGAGGCAGCAGUGAGGAAUAUUGGACAAUGGGCGCAGGCCUGAUCCAGCCAUGCCGCGUGCAGGAAUAAGGUCCUAUGGAUUGUAAACUGCUUUUAUACAGGAAGAAACACACCCUCGUGAGGGUACUUGACGGUACUGUAUGAAUAAGGACCGGCUAACUCCGUGCCAGCAGCCGCCGUAA
RNAcentral lists this ribosomal RNA (497 nucleotides) under uncultured bacterium. RNAcentral describes it as "partial 16S ribosomal RNA". It matches the Rfam family "Bacterial small subunit ribosomal RNA", at positions 28 to 523 of the family's 1533-position model. The record is from RNAcentral.